GAUGAAGAACGCAGCGAAAUGCGAUAAGUAGUGUGAAUUGCAGAAUUCAGUGAAUCAUCGAGUCUUUGAACGCACAUUGCGCCCCCUGGUAUUCCGGGGGGCAUGCCUGUCCGAGCGUCAUUGCUGCCCUCAAGCACGGCUUGUGUGUUGGGCCGUCGUCCCCCUCCUAGGGGACGGGCCCGAAAGGCAGCGGCGGCACCGCGUCCGGUCCUCGAGCGUAUGGGGCUUCGUCACCCGCUCCGUAGGCCCGGCCGGCGCUUGCCGACGACCAUCAAUCUCUUUCUCCAGGUUGACCUCGGAUCAGGUAGGGAUACCCGCUGAACUUAAGCAUAUCAAUAAGCGGAGGA
RNAcentral lists this unclassified non-coding RNA (347 nucleotides) under soil metagenome. RNAcentral describes it as "partial contains 5.8S ribosomal RNA, internal transcribed spacer 2, and large subunit ribosomal RNA". The stretch from base 1 to 120 matches the Rfam family "5.8S ribosomal RNA", at positions 35 to 154 of the family's 154-position model. The record is from RNAcentral.